UUCCGUUGAUGAAGCGGCAUCAACGAAGAGCCAAGCGGGGCUGAUAGA
Molecule: non-coding RNA, 48 nt
Filed under: unclassified sequences
Description: gut-2 RNA
Rfam family: gut-2 RNA
About the family: gut metagenomes. Environment (Cow rumen (57))
Source: Rfam by way of RNAcentral